This 2555-nucleotide long non-coding RNA is filed under the name Homo sapiens (human). Its description in RNAcentral is "HSALNT0303534". The record is from RNAcentral. Lineage: Eukaryota; Metazoa; Chordata; Mammalia; Primates; Hominidae.
CGCUCAGGGACGGGGGGCUGCCUCUCCCUUUCCUUAGGUUUCAAACCUGGCUCUGUGGAGCAAGGCAAGGACAGGCUUUGGACACCCCAGACCCCGCACGCUCAAGCUCUUCCAAGCCACCGUUGGGGGUGCCCAUGACGCAGUCGGCCAGCAAGAAAAGGGACCAAGAGGAGGCCGGAGCAGGCCCUGGAUCCGGACUCGAGGCCUUGUCGGCGGGGAACUGCGGAGUCUUCAAGCAUGAAAACUACUUCCAGCUAAAUGUGCACACACGCCAGUACAGCCGAAAAGUGACUCUGCAGAACCCGGAGCCCUAAUCACUUUUCCACAUGCGCCUCCGGCCCGGCGCGCGACGGGGAACGAGCUGGGAGCGCCCGCGCAGCCAGGAGGGGGGCUGGGCCGCGGGAACGCUGUCCCCCUCCCAGGCUGGAAGGCGGGGAUAAUUCCCCCUGCCGUGCAGCCCUUCUAGACGGCGUCUACCCCUUUAAGAAAAAUCUAGGCGGAGGUGGGGUGCGACAGAAGGGGUGGUGAGGCGAGGGUUUCCCUCCCUCCGUCUGCUAUACCCGUCUCCCUCGCUCCGUCUCACUCUCCGUCUUUCCUCUCCUUCUUUUCCUCUGUUUUUCUUUUCUUUCAACACAAAAGUUGGGUUGUGAAUUUUCCGAGGUCGCCGCCGCCUCGCCCCCACCCCCCGCCUCUGAUCUGCCUAACUAUAAUUAAAGUGCGUUUUUUGUGGCAUUAAUAAAGAGUUAUUUGUCCGCCGUUUCCACGGUCUUCACAAAGAGUACUUUCAUAGGGGCGGCCGCUCGGGCCGCGAGUCCAAUUUAUACAAAAAUGUUGUAUUUUUAGCCCUGGGCUCUGUUUAGAUGGCGCUCGGUGGAAACGGAGAGCCCUUGGAGGUCCCCCCGUAAAAUCUGAUAAAUGACUCCGAAAAAAUAACGCUGGGAUUCAGAGGGCUCUCAUUAACCCCUUAGGCGCUCCUGUACACGUACCCCCUAUUUCCCUCCUCACCUCCAGAUCUAGGGCCCCGGGUUGGAGGGAUGGGGAGGCUUAGGUUUCCUCCUCCCUAACUUCUGUGCAGGUUGGACGCUGACCCCCAGGGGCUCUUGUGGGAUUCGGAGAAAAGGUCAUGGGGACCUGAGGGGGGGCAGAGAGGUCAGGAAACGAAGUGGGGGUGGGUGGUGACAGACCGUGGAUUCAGCAGACUGGCUCUAAAAGGCGGGAGCCGUUGCCCAAGUUAUUUUAUUUCCUAAAUUCGCGGCCCAAAGCCUAGAGCACCGCUGCAGUUGACACUUUAAGUGUGGUGGCGAGGGAAAGGCUCUGGGGAUUUCUUUGCGGGGGGUGGGGGGGUGAUACAUCCAUUGGUUGAAAGGACCCCCACCUCAUUGCACGAACAACCCCAAAAAGAGAUGGGCCUAAUCCGGGACGUGGAAAGACCACAGGGCAGAGGAACUUCGAACCCCCUCCCCGCCCCCGCUCCGCUGUCACUCGUCCCGGGGCAGGGUGAGUGCGUGUGUGCGCGAGCGCGCGGAUUGCACGCGUCUGUUAAUUUCAAGCCAAGCUUUCGCACCUGUAAACCCACAGGUCGCAGCGCUCACCUUUCGCUUCACCUCUCUAGUGCGGGGAUUGUCAGUUUCAGGACAUCCCUGCUUCCCCUAACAGAACAAACGCGCGUACACACAAAUACACCUCCCGCAGUUACUGCAGAGGCGCUCCGCUCCCCCACCCCAAGAAGAAAACCGGUGUGUAUCACAUUGCAAAAGCGAUUGUCUGGCACUUGAUGAGGUGAACUCCAGGUUAAUCUCCCCAUUACCUACCUGGGUCUGGUCCCUGACGCGCCUCACCCCCGUUAUCACCAGCAGAGUGGGGUUGUGCGGCAUCUAACAAGCACACACGCACUCUCUCUCUAUGGAUCCCACACUCACCUCUCCCAAGUUUCCCUCUCCUGCCAAACUGUCCCCACCCAAUAAGUAAAUAGACCCUUUUCCCCGAAAGCCUAGAGCCCUGGAUUCUCAUUUUUCCUUGGGUUACCUUCUUCCUCUUCCACCACAAAACAGACACACUCGCGCGGACCGCGGACCAGGGACACUGUACCUGGCGCUGCCGACGGCGCCGCAGGAACACAGUUUUAAAUCGGCAAUUCAAGCUGCCACCAGCCCCCUCCUCUCCCGACUCAAUUUUCGGCUCCCAGCGACACAGCCAACCCCAGAAAGCCGAGGGCGACUGGGGGCUUGCAGCACCGAGGGGAGGCGAAAGCGGCUCAGGACCGGACCCUCCCCCGGGACCGCGCCUCGCUAGGCGCCCCCGGGGCGCUCCACGCCCCCUGCCAGGCCAGCCGCGACCCAGGCAAGUCCAUCUUGGGAGCCCCCUCAGGUCCGGGAACCCCUCUUACCAGCCCCCUGAACCUGCGCCGCGGGCGCCAGUGGUCCCGGAACCGCGCUGCCGGCGGGCUGGGGAAGCCCGGGCUGCUGCGGCAGAGAGGAGGGAAGGGGCGGGGCGGGGACCAGUGCCUUCAGGCUCCCGGCGCCCCCUGGCCGGCCCGCCGCUCCGUCUGCCCCGCG